GUCGAGAAUCUUCGGCAAUGGGGGCAACCCUGACCGAGCGACGCCGCGUGGUGGAUGAAGGCCUUCGGGUUGUAAACACCUGUUGGGGGGGAACAAUUUUGAGUGAACCCCUGAGGAAGCACGGGCUAAGUUCGUGCCAGCAGCCGCGGUAAGACGAACCGUGCAAACGUUACUCGGAAUCACUGGGCUUAAAGCGCGCGUAGGCGGCGGCGUAAGUCAGAGGUGAAAUCCCAUCGGCUCAACCGUGGAAUUGCCUCUGAUACUGCGUUGCUUGAGGGGGAACGGGGCAUCCGGAACUUCCGGUGGAGCGGUGAAAUGUGUUGAUAUCGGAAGGAACGCCGGUGGCGAAAGCGGGAUGCUGGGUCUCUUCUGACGCUGAGGUGCGAAAGCUAGGGUAGCGAACGGGAUUAGAUACCCCGGUAGUCC
Molecule: ribosomal RNA, 426 nt
Filed under: uncultured Planctomycetaceae bacterium
Lineage: Bacteria; Pseudomonadati; Planctomycetota; Planctomycetia; Planctomycetales; Planctomycetaceae
Description: bacterial SSU rRNA
Rfam family: Bacterial small subunit ribosomal RNA
Source: RNAcentral